Molecule: ribosomal RNA, 468 nt
Filed under: uncultured bacterium
Lineage: Bacteria
Description: partial 16S ribosomal RNA
Rfam family: Bacterial small subunit ribosomal RNA
Source: RNAcentral
GACGAACGCUGGCGGCGUGCUUAACACAUGCAAGUCGAACGGAAAGGCCCUGCUUUUGUGGGGUGCUCGAGUGGCGAACGGGUGAGUAACACGUGAGUAACCUGCCCUUGACUUUGGGAUAACUUCAGGAAACUGGGGCUAAUACCGGAUAGGAGCUCCUGCUGCAUGGUGGGGGUUGGAAAGUUUCGGCGGUUGGGGAUGGACUCGCGGCUUAUCAGCUUGUUGGUGGGGUAGUGGCUUACCAAGGCUUUGACGGGUAGCCGGCCUGAGAGGGUGACCGGCCACAUUGGGACUGAGAUACGGCCCAGACCCCUACGGGAGGCAGCAGUGGGGAAUCUUGCACAAUGGGCGGAAGCCUGAUGCAGCAACGCCGCGUGCGGGAUGCCGGCCUUCGGGUUGUAAACCGCUUUCGCCUGUGACGAAGCGUGAGUGACGGUAAUGGGUAAAGAAGCACCGGCUAACUACGUG